GUGCUCGUCAUCCGCCGUGCUUGUGAGUCGAAGGGUCCCUUGAAUUCUAUGGCUCCUAGCCAUGAUGGGUUUUUUGGAACUCAACAAAGCAUUCAUGGGCUGCUUUUUGCUGAUUUUUUUCAUUAGUUCAUGUAGGGAGGGCAACUGGAAUUUCGCCCUGAUUUUUUUCAAUAAAAAAGCAAAUGCUUCACAUUAUAACAAUUUCGGGUGAUGCACGGAGCACACUAGGCUGAGCCAAAAGGUCUGAAACACAAGGGAAUGAGGAAAGUGUUAACACAAAGGAUGGCAAUCCAUUGUGCAAAACGGUGUUUGUUGAUUGUGAAG
Molecule: long non-coding RNA, 324 nt
Organism: Arachis stenosperma
Lineage: Eukaryota; Viridiplantae; Streptophyta; Magnoliopsida; Fabales; Fabaceae
Exons: 3
Source: RefSeq, a predicted model, not a curated record